GUAAGAAAAAAGGGGAUAGCAUUAUCUAUUUUUUGUCCUUGUCGCUGUAACCUGUUUUUUACCUGACCACAAAACGUCAAAAUGACAGUCUGUGUGCAAACAUUUAACUGAUUCUGCGUUUUUACUCUAAAUAAAUACUUAUUAGUGUUUCUUAGCUUCCAAGUACAUUUUUUUUGGACAAAAUCAAUAGCGUAAUAAUAACAAUGCCAGUAUGUAGUGUUUUAGCGUGUGAAAACAGAACAUAUCGAAGCAGUCCGGGUACAUCCUAUCACAGGUUUCCACUUCAAGACUCAAGAACGUGAACGCACUGAUUGGGUUAAAGCAUGUGGAAGAACAAACUGGGAACCGCCUAAAAGUUCUGUAAUAUGCUCUAAGCAUUUUGAUGACAACUUCUUUAUUAAACAUGGAGAUAGAACAAGUCCCAACCAAGUUCUGUCAUUUGGAAAAUAUUUCUGUACCAAGUUGUUCACCAUCCUCAAUGCAACAUAGUGAAGUUGCCGGCAUCCCUGCCAACUAUAUUUAGAAGCAGGAAAAUCCAACUAAGCGAGCCAAAAGAUCAUGAUUACACAGAUACGCCUCGGAAGAAAAAGUUAAAGCUUAUGCUUGAAAGAAAAAGGGUUUUGUCAGAAACUCGAUUGAAAAAACUACGUGCUGCAAGACAAGCGAACCGGCGUUUAGUAAAAAAAAAAUGCUGAACUGUCUGACGUUAUUGCUGAACUGCGGCUAAACUUUAAAUUUUGAAAAACAGAUCAACUCUUCUCUUUCAUUUUUAAGAGAUGAUGCGUUAAUAGAAGAAGCUUUCGAAUCCGAGGAACUUGAUUUUUCAGUAGACCAUGACUAUCUGCCAGAUCCAUCCCGUUUAACAGAAUAUACAAAACAUGUAGUGGUAUAUAUUGCGGGCUUUGUUGUUACCAAAGUGUCCAAAAUAGUAAAGUGUCACGAUUGCUUAAGUAGCAUAGUGGAGAUGUCAAAUUUAAACUUGUUAUUAAUUUCCAAAAAAGACAAAGGCGGUUUGCGAUAUCCUUCUGCUGAUGUAAUAAAUUUAUGUGAAAUUUCUGAAAGAAUUUUUAGACAAAAUGUCAUACGGUUAAGUUUAAAAAUACUGUCAACAAAAAAAUAUUUUAAUGCUUUUAAUCAGGGAAUGUAUACAACUAAGCCCAAUUAAAGAGUUUUUUAAAUUUCACGGCAACCGGUUUGACCAUUCUCCUUUAGAAAGCCAUGAAAUGCUUUUGAUGAAAGCCAUAAUUAUGAAUUAUUUAAAAGUUCGGUUUCAUCAUUACGCCAAAAACUUAUCAGAGCCUGAUGUAAAAGUGCGAAAUAUGUACAACAAAUUGACCCUGUUACGUAAUCAAUGAAUAUUUUCAGUUUA
This is a long non-coding RNA of Pectinophora gossypiella (pink bollworm), 1369 nucleotides long. RefSeq lists it as uncharacterized. Lineage: Eukaryota; Metazoa; Arthropoda; Insecta; Lepidoptera; Gelechiidae. The transcript is spliced from 4 exons. The record is from RefSeq and is a predicted model, not a curated record.